GGGCCCGUAGCGUAGUUAGGAUAUCGCGGCGGUCUUCGGAACCGCAGAUCGUGGGAUCGAAGCCCAUCGGGCCCG
Molecule: transfer RNA, 75 nt
Filed under: Thermoproteota archaeon
Lineage: Archaea; Thermoproteati; Thermoproteota
Description: tRNA-Arg
Rfam family: tRNA
About the family: Transfer RNA (tRNA) molecules are approximately 80 nucleotides in length. Their secondary structure includes four short double-helical elements and three loops (D, anti-codon, and T loops). Further hydrogen bonds mediate the characteristic L-shaped molecular structure. tRNAs have two regions of fundamental functional importance: the anti-codon, which is responsible for specific mRNA codon recognition, and the 3' end, to which the tRNAs corresponding amino acid is attached (by aminoacyl-tRNA synthetases). tRNAs cope with the degeneracy of the genetic code in two manners: having more than one tRNA (with a specific anti-codon) for a particular amino acid; and 'wobble' base-pairing, i.e. permitting non-standard base-pairing at the 3rd anti-codon position.
Source: RNAcentral